CUCUAGAGAUAGAGCCUUCCCCUUCGGGGGACAAAGUGACAGGUGGUGCAUGGUUGUCGUCAGCUCGUGUCGUGAGAUGUUGGGUUAAGUCCCGCAACGAGCGCAACCCUUAAACUUAGUUGCCAUCAUUAAGUUGGGCACUCUAGGUUGACUGCCGGUGACAAACCGGAGGAAGGUGGGGAUGACGUCAAAUCAUCAUGCCCCUUAUGAUUUGGGCUACACACGUGCUACAAUGGACAAU
Molecule: ribosomal RNA, 241 nt
Filed under: Staphylococcus xylosus
Lineage: Bacteria; Bacillati; Bacillota; Bacilli; Caryophanales; Staphylococcaceae
Description: partial 16S ribosomal RNA
Rfam family: Bacterial small subunit ribosomal RNA
Source: RNAcentral